This is a non-coding RNA of Lolium perenne, 837 nucleotides long. NCBI's taxonomy places the organism in Eukaryota, Viridiplantae, Streptophyta, Magnoliopsida, Poales, Poaceae. The record is from RefSeq and is a predicted model, not a curated record.
UCGCGGCGGCGGCGUCUCUGGAAGGUUUUCCGUAUCGUGGCUCUCGGUACUGGGGUUUUCGCGACGGAGGCUUUAAGUAGGCGGAAGGGCAACGCGGGGGGCCACACGAGGGCCCCACACCCUAGGUCGGCGCGGCCAGGGCCUGGGCCGCGCCGCCCUAUGGUGUCGGCGCCUCGUGGCCCCACUUCCUUCCCUCUUCGGUCUUCUGGAAGCUUCGUGCAAAAAUAGGACCCUGGGCGAAGAUUUCGUCCAAUUCCGAGAAUAUUUCCUUACUAGGAUUUCUGAAACCAAAAACAGCAGAAAACAGCAACUGGCUCUUCGGCAUCUUGUUAAUAGGUUAGUUCCAGAAAAUGCAUAAAUAUGACAUAUAAUGUGCAUAAAACAUGUAGGUAUCAUCAAUAAAGUAGCAUGGAACAUAAGAAAUUAUCGAUACGUUGGAGACGUAUCAGCAUCCCCAAGCUUAGUUCUGCUCGUCCCGAGCAGGUAAAACGAUAACAAAGAUAAUUUCUGAAGUGACAUGCCAUCAUAAUCUUGAUCAUACUAUUUGUAAACAUAUGUAAUGAAUGCAGCGAUCAAAACAAUGGUAAUGACAUGAGUAAACAACUGAAUCAUAAAGCAAAGACUUUUCAUGAAUAGUACUUCAAGACAAGCAUCAAUAAGUCUUGCAUAAGAGUUGACUCAUAAAGCAAUAAAUCAAAGUAAAGGUGUUGAAGCAACACAAAGGAAGAUUAAGUUUCAGCGGUUGCUUUCAACUUAUAACAUGUAUAUCUCAUGGAUAUUGUCAACAUAAAGUAAUAUAACAAGUGCAAUAUGCAAGUAUGUAGGAAUCAAUGCACA